CCUUGGAGAAUUUUGCUUUGGCGAGACCGUGAGAGAUAUAUUGCUCAUUUUGGAGGUUUCGAAGAAGAUUAGCAGUACGGCUUACAUGUCAGCUCAAAAACUGUUGUUAUAGUGCUGUCUUAAGUUUAGAAAAUGUUUCGGAAGCGCAGGAAAUGUUUUGGGACUUGGAAUAUGUUUUUUAGUGCAGUCUUGACUUAUAUGAGUAGUAUUUGUUCUACUCAAACUUAUGAAACUAUUUGUACUAUGAUGUUGCACUUAUUUAUGACAUUUGAAUAUUUAAUAUGUUA
Molecule: long non-coding RNA, 287 nt
Organism: Coffea arabica (coffee)
Lineage: Eukaryota; Viridiplantae; Streptophyta; Magnoliopsida; Gentianales; Rubiaceae
Source: RefSeq, a predicted model, not a curated record